RNAcentral lists this ribosomal RNA (305 nucleotides) under uncultured bacterium. RNAcentral describes it as "bacterial SSU rRNA". It matches the Rfam family "Bacterial small subunit ribosomal RNA", at positions 338 to 660 of the family's 1533-position model. The record is from RNAcentral.
CCUACGGGAGGCAGCAGUGGGGAAUAUUGCACAAUGGGGGAAACCCUGAUGCAGCAACGCCGCGUGAGUGAAGAAGUAUUUCGGUAUGUAAAGCUCUAUCAGCAGGGAAGAAAAUGACAGUACCUGACUAAGAAGCCCCGGCUAACUACGUGCCAGCAGCCGCGGUAAUACGUAGGGGGCAAGCGUUAUCCGGAUUUACUGGGUGUAAAGGGAGCGUAGACGGCUGCGCAAGUCAGAAGUGAAAGCCCGGGGCUCAACCGCGGGACUGCUUUUGAAACUGUGUAGCUAGAGUGCAGGAGAGGUAA